UUGGUUAAGUUAGAAAGGGCGCACGGUGGAUGCCUUGGCACUAGGAGCCGAAGAAGGACGGGACUAACACCGAUAUGCUUUGGGGAGCUGUACGUAAGCGUUGAUCCAGAGAUUUCCGAAUGGGGGAACCCACUAUCUUUAGUCGGAUAGUAUCCUUACGUGAAUACAUAGCGUAAGGAAGGCAGACCCAGGGAACUGAAACAUCUAAGUACCUGGAGGAAGAGAAAGAAAAAUCGAUUUCCUGAGUAGCGGCGAGCGAAACGGAAAGAGCCCAAACCAAGAAGCUUGCUUCUUGGGGUUGUAGGACACUCUAUACGGAGUUACAAAAGAAAGUUAUAAAUGAAGCGGUCUGGAAAGGCCCGCCAAAGACGGUAACAGCCCGGUAGUUGAAAUGGCUUUCCCUCCAGAGUGGAUCCUGAGUACGGCGGAACACGUGAAAUUCCGUCGGAAUCCGGGAGGACCAUCUCCCAAGGCUAAAUACUCCCUAGUGACCGAUAGUGAACCAGUACCGUGAGGGAAAGGUGAAAAGCACCCCGGAAGGGGAGUGAAACAGUUCCUGAAACCGUGUGCCUACAAGUAGUUAGAGCCCGUUAAUGGGUGAUAGCGUGCCUUUUGUAGAAUGAACCGGCGAGUUACGAUUUGUUGCAAGGUUAAGCGGAAAAAGCGGAGCCGUAGCGAAAGCGAGUCUGAAUAGGGCGCAUAAGUAACAGGUCGUAGACCCGAAACCAGGUGAUCUACCCAUGUCCAGGAUGAAGGUAAGGUAAUACUUACUGGAGGUCCGAACCCACGCACGUUGAAAAGUGCGGGGAUGAGGUGUGGGUAGCGGAGAAAUUCCAAUCGAACUUGGAGAUAGCUGGUUCUCUCCGAAAUAGCUUUAGGGCUAGCCUCGAGGUAAAGAGUCAUGGAGGUAGAGCACUGUUUGGACUAGGGGCCCUUCUCGGGUUACCGAAUUCAGAUAAACUCCGAAUGCCAUGUACUUAUACUCGGGAGUCAGACUGCGAGUGAUAAGAUCCGUAGUCGAAAGGGAAACAGCCCAGACCACCAGUUAAGGUCCCCAAAUAUAUGUUAAGUGGAAAAGGAUGUGGGGUUGCUUAGACAACCAGGAUGUUGGCUUAGAAGCAGCCACCAUUGAAAGAGUGCGUAAUAGCUCACUGGUCGAGUGACCCCGCGCCGAAAAUGUACCGGGGCUAAACAUAUUACCGAAACUGUG
RNAcentral lists this ribosomal RNA (1210 nucleotides) under Listeria monocytogenes. RNAcentral describes it as "partial 23S ribosomal RNA". It matches the Rfam family "Bacterial large subunit ribosomal RNA", at positions 1 to 1204 of the family's 2925-position model. Lineage: Bacteria; Bacillati; Bacillota; Bacilli; Caryophanales; Listeriaceae. The record is from RNAcentral.